CAUCUUCUGAGGAGUCCCACAAUAGGACGAAACGGCCGUUCAGUGC
Schistosoma curassoni is the source of this 46-nucleotide non-coding RNA. The record is from Rfam. Lineage: Eukaryota; Metazoa; Platyhelminthes; Trematoda; Strigeidida; Schistosomatidae.